Molecule: transfer RNA, 73 nt
Filed under: Camelus dromedarius (Arabian camel)
Lineage: Eukaryota; Metazoa; Chordata; Mammalia; Artiodactyla; Camelidae
Also listed under: 1 other name
Rfam family: tRNA
About the family: Transfer RNA (tRNA) molecules are approximately 80 nucleotides in length. Their secondary structure includes four short double-helical elements and three loops (D, anti-codon, and T loops).
Source: Rfam by way of RNAcentral
GAGGGUAUAGCUCAAUUGAUAGAGUGCAUCCCUAGCAUGUGUGAGGUCCUGGGUUCAAUCCCCAGCACCUCCA